GGGUCAGUAGGUUGGUCGUGCCACCGGUACGUACUGGUCUCACUGAUUCCUCCUUCCUGAAGAACCGUAAUGCCAUUAAUUUGGUGUUGCGGGGAAACAGGACUGUUACUUUGAAAAAAUUAGAGUGUUUAAAGCAAGCUGACGCUUGGAUACAUUAGCAUGGAAUAAUGAAAUAGGACGAUCGAUCCUAUUUUGUUGGUUUCUAGGAUUGACGUA
Molecule: ribosomal RNA, 216 nt
Filed under: Glomeromycotina sp.
Lineage: Eukaryota; Fungi; Glomeromycota
Description: partial small subunit ribosomal RNA
Rfam family: Eukaryotic small subunit ribosomal RNA (bases 40-216)
Source: RNAcentral